UACGGAGGAUGCGAGCGUUAUCCGGAUUUAUUGGGUUUAAAGGGUGCGUAGGCGGGAUGCCAAGUCAGCGGUAAAAAUGCGGUGCUCAACGCCGUCGAGCCGUUGAAACUGGCGUUCUUGAGUGUGCGAGAAGUACGCGGAAUGCGUGGUGUAGCGGUGAAAUGCAUAGAUAUCACGCAGAACUCCAAUUGCGAAGGCAGCAUACCGGCGCCCUACUGACGCUGAGGCACGAAAGCGUGGGUAUCGAACAGG
This 252-nucleotide ribosomal RNA is filed under the name uncultured bacterium. RNAcentral's name for it is "partial 16S ribosomal RNA". It matches the Rfam family "Bacterial small subunit ribosomal RNA", at positions 524 to 776 of the family's 1533-position model. The record is from RNAcentral.